Molecule: ribosomal RNA, 447 nt
Filed under: uncultured bacterium
Lineage: Bacteria
Description: partial 16S ribosomal RNA
Rfam family: Bacterial small subunit ribosomal RNA
Source: RNAcentral
AACGAACGCUGGCGGCAGGCUUAACACAUGCAAGUCGAGCGCCCCGCAAGGGGAGCGGCAGACGGGUGAGUAACGCGUGGGAACCUACCUCAUGGUGCGGAAUAACUCAGGGAAACUUGAGCUAAUACCGCAUGUGUCCUUCGGGAGAAAGAUUUAUCGCCAUGAGAUGGGCCCGCGUCGGAUUAGCUAGUUGGUGGGGUAACGGCCUACCAAGGCGACGAUCCGUAGCUGGUCUGAGAGGAUGAUCAGCCACACUGGGACUGAGACACGGCCCAGACUCCUACGGGAGGCAGCAGUGGGGAAUAUUGGACAACGGGCGCAAGCCUGAUCCAGCCAUGCCGCGUGAGUGAUGAAGGCCUUAGGGUUGUAAAGCUCUUUCGCCAGUGAAGAUAAUGACGGUAACCGGAGAAGAAGCCCCGGCUAACUUCGUGCCAGCAGCCGCCGUAA